GGGUGUUUGGCCGAGUGGUUUAAGGCGCUACGUUCAGGUUCAUGACCACAUGUGGUCUCAACUGAGAAUCGUAGUAUCGCAAGAUGCGUGAGUUCGAAUCUCACAGCACCCA
Non-coding RNA from Borealophlyctis nickersoniae, 112 nucleotides. The record is from the annotation of a GenBank genome assembly. NCBI's taxonomy places the organism in Eukaryota, Fungi, Chytridiomycota, Chytridiomycetes, Rhizophlyctidales, Borealophlyctidaceae.